CCUUCGGGAGCUUGCACAGUGCUGCAUGGCUGUCGUCAGCUCGUGUCGUGAGAUGUUCGGUUAAGUCCGCUAACGAGCGCAACCCUCGCUGUGUGUUAUAUGUGUCACACGGGACUGCCGGUCUUAAGCCGGAGGAAGGUGGGGAUGAUGUCAAGUCAGCAUGGCCUUUAUAUCCUGGGCUACACACACGCUACAAUGGCCAACACAAUAGGUUGCUAAGCCGCGAGGUGGCGCCAAUCCAUAAAGUUGGUCUCAGUUCAGAUUGUAGGCUGCAACCCGCCUGCAUGAAGAUGGAGUUGCUAGUAACCGCAGGUCAGCUAUACUGCGGUGAAUACGUUCCCGGGGCUU
RNAcentral lists this ribosomal RNA (348 nucleotides) under uncultured Leptolinea sp. RNAcentral's name for it is "bacterial SSU rRNA". It matches the Rfam family "Bacterial small subunit ribosomal RNA", at positions 1017 to 1382 of the family's 1533-position model. The record is from RNAcentral. Lineage: Bacteria; Bacillati; Chloroflexota; Anaerolineae; Anaerolineales; Anaerolineaceae.